GUGGUGGUGGAGGACCCCCACCUGUUUUUCGGGCCUCCGCUUUUUUUCUGUUGGCUAUAACGGGCCACAUUUGAGCAUACAGAGUAAGCAAAUAUGUACUUGUAAUGUGCUCAGAUAAUUUCAAUAAGUGCUUACAGAAAGAAAAUUAAUGUAGCCUCUAACUGCAAUUGAUUUACAUGGGACAAACAGACCAAGCACUAUGGCUCAUAAUACAAUUACACCUUACCUGUUUGGACUAUAUUUUUAUAUUUCAUUUUUACUUGCUGCCAGGCACGUUUGGGGCCUGUUGGGUUGCACCUGCGCUCACAUCACAUCACAAAAUAAAAUGUAUAUGUAGUGGCAAUUCCUUUACUUUUGUAAGAUCAAACGUCCCACAACUUAAAGUCCACAAGCCACUGCUGCACUGAGGUAAUAUUUCGUACGCAGGCAAAAGAAGUCCAUUGUCCAAACCUUUUAGUUGAGAGUUUUGGUUUUGGUUUAUUUAUCCAUUUGGCAAGCAAUAACAAGAUCCUUCCUACUGCUUCUCCUGCUCUGGUAAAAAACCAUAGGCCCACCCCAAUGCAUGCUGGUCCUAUACCAGUCUCUUUAUUUAUAGAAACAAAAUGGCCCUACAGCUCUUACUGACUAAUUUAACAAAAUAACAACAAACAAAACAAAUCAUUUCAAACAAAAUAUUAACCGACAAAUAAACCCCAAAAUAUAAGUAAACUAACAACAAACUUUAACUAAUUUCAAAAAUAAGAACAAAAACAAAAAUAAAGAACAAAUAGCUCCAACAGUAUAAAAUAACAAAUAAAAUAACAUAUGAUAAAAUAACGUGUUAAAUGGGUGGAAAUCCCUCGAUCAAUGUUUAAAUUAACACUCACGCAUUGACUCUGUCGGCUAUGUUUUGCCAUGCAUGCUUUUGCAGCUGUGGCUGUGUUACUUUUUUCCGCGGAAUUUGCAUGUUAUCGGCAUAUGCUGCCAUCAGAAUUUCGGCCUCAAGCGCUGUGAAAUACAUUGACCGCGCCUUCUUUCCCUCCGUCUCCAUGGUGACUCGCUUAAUCUGUGCUCCGCUUAUCAGGGCUUUAUGUAUCCUCGUCCGCGCGCUUCACUUGGGGUUAAAGCAACUCCGCGUUGACUGAACUAAUUGUUAUCAGCCUUUCUGAAACGGAAUAUUCCGAGUUGGACAGUUCGGGGUUACUCAACCGUGAGUGUCGUUUUUCACUCUGAGUUUUCCAAACCGGCUUCCUGAAACAGGGCCCUGGUGGUGGAGCGUGAGGGGUGGUUCCCUAUUUUUUAUUUAUUUAUUUUUGUUGUUGCUGGGAGUUGGAACCCUAUUAGUUAGGUUGCUUAAUAUUUACGCUAAGUACUCUUUAAAAUACCAGAAUAGGGAGGAUGGUGUAGGUUUAUGUUUAUUAGAUUGAUCAGUAUUGCUGAACUAUGAAAUAUUUUUUUUUUGCAUACAGGUAUAACAGAAUAGCUUUUGUGUAGUUGUUGUUUUAAACUUGAGUAUGAACUUAUACAAAAUGCAGCAAGAUAUUUAAAAAAAAAAGUUUUGUUGAUUAAAAAACACUAUAUCGGAUUCAUAUCGGUAUCGGCAGAUAUCCAAAUUUAUGAUAUCGGAAUCGGUAUCGGACAUAAAAAAGUGGUAUCG
Long non-coding RNA from Astatotilapia calliptera (eastern happy), 1636 nucleotides. The record is from Ensembl. NCBI's taxonomy places the organism in Eukaryota, Metazoa, Chordata, Actinopteri, Cichliformes, Cichlidae.